This 62-nucleotide transfer RNA is filed under the name Argulus americanus. RNAcentral describes it as "tRNA-Tyr". It matches the Rfam family "tRNA". Rfam says of the family: Transfer RNA (tRNA) molecules are approximately 80 nucleotides in length. Their secondary structure includes four short double-helical elements and three loops (D, anti-codon, and T loops). The record is from RNAcentral. Lineage: Eukaryota; Metazoa; Arthropoda; Ichthyostraca; Arguloida; Argulidae.
GAUAAAAUGGCUGAUUUAAGCGGUAGAUUGUAAAUCUAUUUAUGAAUAAAAUUCUUUUAUUA